This 245-nucleotide unclassified non-coding RNA is filed under the name uncultured fungus. RNAcentral's name for it is "partial contains 18S rRNA, ITS1, 5.8S rRNA, ITS2 and 28S rRNA". Lineage: Eukaryota; Fungi. The record is from RNAcentral.
AAGGAUCAUUAUUGAUUUUCAUAAGAUGUGCUGGCAAUCCUUUGCAGGGCUUGCAUGUGCACUCUUAAAAAUCUCCUCACCCCAUUGUGCACACCUCAGUAGGCAAAAAGCAUAGAGACAAUCUCUGUGCAUCUCAUUUGCCUAUGUUUUUCUUUAUACACCAAAAUGUUCAGAAUGAUAUGUGUAAUAAGCUUUAACAAGCUGAAAUCUAAAUACAACUUUCAACAAUGGAUCUCUUGGUUCUC